This 375-nucleotide ribosomal RNA is filed under the name Triticum aestivum (bread wheat). RNAcentral describes it as "partial small subunit ribosomal RNA". Lineage: Eukaryota; Viridiplantae; Streptophyta; Magnoliopsida; Poales; Poaceae. The record is from RNAcentral.
AUGAUGUCGGAGAGGAGAGGGGAGUGGGAGGACUACCGGACGCCGCACGGGCUGCUGAUGGCGGUGGUGAUGGGGGCGGUGGUGGCGGGGCCGCUGUUCGUCCUGGACGGCGGCGAGGCGCUGCGCGAGGCCCUGUCGGAGCUGCUCGGGCCCGUGGGGCUCCCGCUGCUGCCCCUUGGCCUCGUCGUCCUCAUCCGCGUCCUCUCCUCCGGCUAUCGGCUCGUCGACGUCCUCGGCUUCGCCCUGGGAGAGUCGCUCGACGCCGCCUACCGCUCCGGGCGGGGGUCGCCGGUGGGGGUCGUGCUCGCGCUGCUGUUCUUCCUGCUCGCGGUGUACUACAGGUCGUGGUCGCCGUUCGGCGGCGACGACGAGUAG